UACGUAGGGUGCGAGCGUUAAUCGGAAUUACUGGGCGUAAAGCGUGCGCAGGCGGUUUUGUAAGUCAGAUGUGAAAUCCCCGGGCUUAACCUGGGAACUGCGUUUGAAACUACAAGGCUAGAGUGUAGCAGAGGGGGGUGGAAUUCCACGUGUAGCAGUGAAAUGCGUAGAGAUGUGGAGGAAUACCGAUGGCGAAGGCAGCCCCCUGGGAUAACACUGACGCUUAUGUACGAAAGCGUGGGUAGCAAACAGG
This 253-nucleotide ribosomal RNA is filed under the name uncultured bacterium. RNAcentral's name for it is "partial 16S ribosomal RNA". It matches the Rfam family "Bacterial small subunit ribosomal RNA", at positions 524 to 776 of the family's 1533-position model. The record is from RNAcentral.